GGAAAAUAGAAUCCAUAACUUCAAGAGAAGGAUUGGCUGUGGGGGUCGAGUUAGACGGGCCGAGAUCGGACACGUGUUAGUCCAGUUGGAGGCUGGUUUCUCUGCAUAUUGUUUGCGCUUUAGUGCGCAAUGUUAUGGAGUUGCUGGACCCUGACCGCGAUCGGUCAAGGGUGGUCUCAGUUGCUAGCAUUGUAUGGCUGGCAACGUGUGUGGACUUGCUCUGCGUUGCGCCAAGCAGCUCUACUCCCGUUGUUUCGCGCGCGACUGCUAACCCAGAACUGGUGUGAUCAGAAGGAACCAGAGUGCCUAAUUAAAACGAGGCAUUGUGAAGUCCACUGACCGGUUAUGACGCAGCGUCAUUUCCGCCUAGUGCUCUGAAUGUCAAAGUGGAGGAAUUCAAAUAAGCGCGAGUAAACAGUGGGAGUAACUAUGGACCGUUACCCGUACGCUUAUUUCUGAUAUGGUGCCAUUCAUGCGAAAUAAAAUUGUCACGUUUGACGAGCGCGGAGGUAGUUUCCGGUUUUGCAG
This 528-nucleotide non-coding RNA is filed under the name Trichobilharzia regenti. RNAcentral's name for it is "Eukaryotic large subunit ribosomal RNA". It matches the Rfam family "Eukaryotic large subunit ribosomal RNA", at positions 1916 to 2268 of the family's 3401-position model. Lineage: Eukaryota; Metazoa; Platyhelminthes; Trematoda; Strigeidida; Schistosomatidae. The record is from Rfam by way of RNAcentral.